RNAcentral lists this ribosomal RNA (651 nucleotides) under Salmonella enterica subsp. enterica serovar Schwarzengrund. RNAcentral describes it as "partial 23S ribosomal RNA". It matches the Rfam family "Bacterial large subunit ribosomal RNA", at positions 2211 to 2856 of the family's 2925-position model. Lineage: Bacteria; Pseudomonadati; Pseudomonadota; Gammaproteobacteria; Enterobacterales; Enterobacteriaceae. The record is from RNAcentral.
UGUUUGAUGUUCUAACGUGGACCCGUGAUCCGGGUUGCGGACAGUGUCUGGUGGGUAGUUUGACUGGGGCGGUCUCCUCCUAAAGAGUAACGGAGGAGCACGAAGGUUGGCUAAUCCUGGUCGGACAUCAGGAGGUUAGUGCAAUGGCAUAAGCCAGCUUGACUGCGAGCGUGACGGCGCGAGCAGGUGCGAAAGCAGGUCAUAGUGAUCCGGUGGUUCUGAAUGGAAGGGCCAUCGCUCAACGGAUAAAAGGUACUCCGGGGAUAACAGGCUGAUACCGCCCAAGAGUUCAUAUCGACGGCGGUGUUUGGCACCUCGAUGUCGGCUCAUCACAUCCUGGGGCUGAAGUAGGUCCCAAGGGUAUGGCUGUUCGCCAUUUAAAGUGGUACGCGAGCUGGGUUUAGAACGUCGUGAGACAGUUCGGUCCCUAUCUGCCGUGGGCGCUGGAGAACUGAGGGGGGCUGCUCCUAGUACGAGAGGACCGGAGUGGACGCAUCACUGGUGUUCGGGUUGUCAUGCCAAUGGCACUGCCCGGUAGCUAAAUGCGGAAGAGAUAAGUGCUGAAAGCAUCUAAGCACGAAACUUGCCCCGAGAUGAGUUCUCCCUGAGACUUAGAGUCUCCUGAAGGAACGUUGAAGACGACGACGUUGA